AAGUCUGUUCUGCCCCCUGAUUUUUUAAUGGCCGCAGUAUAUUAACUGUGCAAGGUAGCAUAAUCAUUAGUUUUUUAAUUGGAGACUUGUAUGAAUGAUUGGACGAGGUAUAAGCUGUUUCAAUAAUAAAUUUAGAAUUUUAUUUUUUAGUUAAAAGCUAAAAUUUUUUUAAAAGACGAGAAGACCCUAUAGAUCUUUAUUAUUAUUUUAUUGUAAUUAUUGAAGAAUUUUUUUGUUAUAAUGAUUUUAAUAAUUUUGUUGGGGUGACAUUGAAAUUUGUUUAACUUUUAAUUUAGUGAUACAUUAAUUUAUGAAUUUAUGAUCCAUUAUUGUUGAUUAAAAAUUUAAGUUACCUUAGGGAUAACAGCGUAAUUAUUUUGGAGAGUUCUUAUCGAUAAAAUAGUUUGCGACCUCGAUGUUGGAUUAAGAUUAAUUUUGGGCGCAGCUGUUCAUAAUAUUAAGUCUGUUCGACUUUUAAUUUCUU
Molecule: ribosomal RNA, 484 nt
Filed under: Medetera impigra
Lineage: Eukaryota; Metazoa; Arthropoda; Insecta; Diptera; Dolichopodidae
Description: partial 16S ribosomal RNA
Rfam family: Bacterial large subunit ribosomal RNA (bases 360-484)
Source: RNAcentral